This 76-nucleotide transfer RNA is filed under the name Clostridiales bacterium. RNAcentral describes it as "tRNA-Arg". It matches the Rfam family "tRNA". Rfam says of the family: Transfer RNA (tRNA) molecules are approximately 80 nucleotides in length. The record is from RNAcentral. Lineage: Bacteria; Bacillati; Bacillota; Clostridia; Eubacteriales.
GCGUCCGUAAUUCAAAGGAUAGAAUGCUUGUUUCCGAUGCAAGUUGUUGGGGGUUCGAGUCCCUUCGGACGCGCCA